AGAAACAGAAAACAGCCACCAAUAACACUCCUUCUCAGCAGAGAGGUGCCGUAUUGUUGAAGUCAAGCCAACUGAAAGAUCCCAGCAUUUAGUACUGCAAGCAUCUGUGAAAUACUUCGAAAGGAAUGGAUGGCUGCACCUGGUUCUCUUUGCCGUACCACAGUCAUUGCUGUGCAAUGCUAGCAUCAGCUAAACCUGUGCAUAGCAGCUUCACAGCUAAUCCCAGUUCCACCUGCACUGGUGCCAUUUCAGCACAUCCUGCCUGUGUUGUUAGACCGCUCAUCACAACAAGGUGUUUACAUUUCGGCCACUGCCUCCAUUUUCCUCCUCUUAGAACAUGUGAGGCAGUAAAAAACUUGGAGAGAUCCUUGGACACUGUUGGCAUUCCUGUUUUGGCAAGAAGAGAAACUGAUGGUUAUUAUUAUCCUGGCACAAUAAUAAAAGCUAUUAUAGAGGCAAGUUGCUAUAUGAUUUUUUUCUGGCAUGUGUAGAUGGGACAUUAAUAAUUCACCCCAGAAUCUUUAUGGAUUCUGCUAAAGGCGUCAGAUUCUGGGCAAGGGGUGUAUGUCAAUCACAACUGCUGCAUUCAACAGAAGUUGGUGUCUGCCUCAUUUUGAUGGAGAAAAAAACUCUUUAAUAUUAGUGGCAUCCUUCCCUCCUUUUACCUGCUGAAUAAUUGGGAAUUCUGAUGGAUCAUGAGGACCACUCUCUAGCCAUUUAUUCCACAGAGUUGCUACAAUCUGUAUUUGAAAAUUCUGUCACAUUACCACCAAGCUUUCAGCCCCAUUUGACAACCACUUUCCCAUAUUUUCAGAAAUUUCUAGAUUUCAUUUGACUUGUCUGAGGUCCAUCUUGCAUGAGACCUACUGCUGCCAAGGUCACAACUACACCAUACAUUUACAAUACAUGCUGUUCCCCUCAAAGAAUCCUGGGAAAUGUAGUUUACCCCUCACAAUUUACAAUUCCCAGCAUCCUUAACAAACUACCAGUGCCAAAAUUCUUAGUUUAGGGAAAGCUAUGUGGUUGAAAUGUGUGGUGUGGCUGUGACCCAAGUCUCUGUCCAACUUAUUGGCACAGGUUAUCUUGUGUGUGUGUGUGGUUUUUUUUAACCUUCCUGCCAAGUGUAUCUGGAGAUUUAUGCUGUUUGGGGACAAUAUCCCAUCCGUUGUUAUGAGUAAACGGAUGGACAUUAUACUUGCUGGAAAUGUCUUAGCGUGUUAAUAUAUAUAAACUUGACACUUUUUGUCCUCUGUACACAGGAAAAACAACCUUCAAUUCAUUAGCUGUUAGCACUUGAAACUUAAAAAAAAUAUGUUGUGCUGUUUUUGAAGUGUAAGAAAAAGGCAAGGCUGUUUAUCAAAGUUUCUGGAAGACUGACAAAUUUGAAAUGCCUGGUAUUCAGCAUGUAGUGGGAGUGACUGGCAAUAAUAUAUUUUUGUUUUGUAGUGUUUGAUUCCUUUCAUUACACAACAUGGUGGCCACUUAUGCGUUGCUUAAAAAAAGAGGA
Long non-coding RNA from Podarcis raffonei (Aeolian wall lizard), 1507 nucleotides. RefSeq lists it as uncharacterized. The record is from RefSeq and is a predicted model, not a curated record. NCBI's taxonomy places the organism in Eukaryota, Metazoa, Chordata, Lepidosauria, Squamata, Lacertidae. The transcript is spliced from 3 exons.